AUCUGAGGGUCUUGAAGACACCAGCUAGUUCCUUUGAACUUGCAUCAUGACAGGGUCCUACUUCAUGUUUCUCACUGGGACAAUACAUGUGGAUUCCAGGUUUCUCCUUCCUUCAUGGCGUUCUGUCUCUUUUGCUUCACUGGGUAUGUGGUUGCUCAGCAUGUGAUGAAACUGAGUCUUCUGCAAGAACAACUAAAGAACCAGUGUUACUCAUCAAACCAAUGACCAAGGAAUGGCUGGAGAGGGACCUGAGAGCCAGUCGUGGAGGCUAACGCAGUCUAUAAUCCUCUGUCUGAUAACAACCAGAUUAUAGCUCCACAAUUCCAAUAAAGAAACACAAGCGGUAUGAAAGUAUAGUUUUGCAGUGGAGAUGUUGGCUGUUCCUGCCUGAAAGGGGAAAGGAGAAGAAAGCUGCCUGACAUAGAUGGAAAGGGAAAAAGAAGAUCUGCUUAGAAAAGAGAAGUCUGGGAGAGCUGGGGAGCAGGGAACCCAAGCUGGCAGCUUUGCCUCCUGUGCUACGUCUGGGAGCAUGACUGCUUCGGAGACUUAUAUAUCCUAGAUUCUCUAUUCAGCUACCAUCAUGUUGCCGUACGUGGCUACAAGAAAAACCCUGCUGGACUGCUGGAUUUUGCUGCAGAGCAUUUGCAGGAAUAAGCACGUUUCAUCCCUUCUCAG
Long non-coding RNA from Aquila chrysaetos chrysaetos, 675 nucleotides. RefSeq lists it as uncharacterized. The transcript has 5 exons. NCBI's taxonomy places the organism in Eukaryota, Metazoa, Chordata, Aves, Accipitriformes, Accipitridae. The record is from RefSeq and is a predicted model, not a curated record.